GUGUCAGCAGCCGCGGUAAUACGGAGGGUGCGAGCGUUGUUCGGAAUUAUUGGGCGUAAAGCGCGUGUAGGCGGUUUCUUAAGUCUGAUGUGAAAGCCCCGGGCCUAACCUGGGAAGUGCAUUGGAUACUGGGAGACUUGAGUACGGGAGAGGGUAGUGGAAUUCCUAGUGUAGGAGUGAAAUCCGUAGAUAUUAGGAGGAACACCGGUGGCGAAGGCGGCUGCCUGGACCGAUACUGACGCUGAGACGCGAAAGCGUGGGGAGCAAACAGGAUUAGAUACCCUGGUAGUCCACGCCGUAAACGAUGAGUACUAGGUGUUGCGGGUAUUGACCCCUGCAGUGCCGCAGCUAACGCAUUAAGUACUCCGCCUGGGAAGUACGGUCGCAAGACUAAA
This 395-nucleotide ribosomal RNA is filed under the name uncultured bacterium. Its description in RNAcentral is "bacterial SSU rRNA". It matches the Rfam family "Bacterial small subunit ribosomal RNA", at positions 505 to 898 of the family's 1533-position model. The record is from RNAcentral.